UAGGGAAUCUUCCGCAAUGGGCGAAAGCCUGACGGAGCAACGCCGCGUGAGUGAUGAAGGUCUUCGGAUCGUAAAACUCUGUUAUUAGGGAAGAACAAAUGUGUAAGUAACUAUGCACGUCUUGACGGUACCUAAUCAGAAAGCCACGGCUAACUACGUGCCAGCAGCCGCGGUAAUACGUAGGUGGCAAGCGUUAUCCGGAAUUAUUGGGCGUAAAGCGCGCGUAGGCGGUUUUUUAAGUCUGAUGUGAAAGCCCACGGCUCAACCGUGGAGGGUCACUGGAAACUGGAAAACUUGAGUGCAGAAGAGGAAAGUGGAAUUCCAUGUGUAGCGGUGAAAUGCGCAGAAAUAUGGAGGAACACCAGUGGCGAAGGCGACUUUCUGGUCUGUAACUGACGCUGAUGUGCGAAAGCGUGGGGAUCAAACAGG
Molecule: ribosomal RNA, 429 nt
Filed under: Actinomycetes bacterium
Lineage: Bacteria; Bacillati; Actinomycetota; Actinomycetes
Description: Actinobacteria bacterium partial 16S ribosomal RNA
Rfam family: Bacterial small subunit ribosomal RNA
Source: RNAcentral